RNAcentral lists this ribosomal RNA (670 nucleotides) under uncultured bacterium. RNAcentral describes it as "bacterial SSU rRNA". It matches the Rfam family "Bacterial small subunit ribosomal RNA", at positions 66 to 731 of the family's 1533-position model. The record is from RNAcentral.
ACGGCAGCACGGGAGCAAUCCUGGUGGCGAGUGGCGAACGGGUGAGUAAUAUAUCGGAACGUGCCCAGUAAUGGGGGAUAGCCCGGCGGAAGCCGGAUUAAUACCGCAUACGACCUACGGGUGAAAGCGGGGGAUCGCAAGACCUCGCGUUAUUGGAGCGGCCGAUAUCAGAUUAGCUAGUUGGUGGGGUAAAAGCUUACCAAGGCGACGAUCUGUAGCUGGUCUGAGAGGACGACCAGCCACACUGGGACUGAGACACGGCCCAGACUCCUACGGGAGGCAGCAGUGGGGAAUUUUGGACAAUGGGCGCAAGCCUGAUCCAGCCAUGCCGCGUGUGGGAAGAAGGCCUUCGGGUUGUAAACCACUUUUGUCAGGGAAGAAACGGUCUGAACUAAUAAUUUGGGCUAAUGACGGUACCUGAAGAAUAAGCACCGGCUAACUACGUGCCAGCAGCCGCGGUAAUACGUAGGGUGCAAGCGUUAAUCGGAAUUACUGGGCGUAAAGCGUGCGCAGGCGGCUUUGCAAGACAGAUGUGAAAUCCCCGGGCUCAACCUGGGAACUGCAUUUGUGGCUGCAUGGCUAGAGUACGGUAGAGGGGGAUGGAAUUCCGCGUGUAGCAGUGAAAUGCGUAGAUAUGCGGAGGAACACCGAUGGCGAAGGCAAUCCCCUG